RNAcentral lists this ribosomal RNA (496 nucleotides) under uncultured bacterium. Its description in RNAcentral is "partial 16S ribosomal RNA". It matches the Rfam family "Bacterial small subunit ribosomal RNA", at positions 28 to 507 of the family's 1533-position model. The record is from RNAcentral.
GAUGAACGCUGGCGGCGUGCCUAAUACAUGCAAGUCGAGCGAACGGACGAGAAGCUUGCUUCUCUGAUGUUAGCGGCGGACGGGUGAGUAACACGUGGAUAACCUACCUAUAAGACUGGGAUAACUUCGGGAAACCGUAGCUAAUACCGGAUAAUAUUUUGAACCGCAUGGUUCAAAAGUGAAAGACGGUCUUGCUGUCACUUAUAGAUGGAUCCGCGCUGCAUUAGCUAGUUGGUAAGGUAACGGCUUACCAAGGCAACGAUGCAUAGCCGACCUGAGAGGGUGAUCGGCCACACUGGAACUGAGACACGGUCCAGACUCCUACGGGAGGCAGCAGUAGGGAAUCUUCCGCAAUGGGCGAAAGCCUGACGGAGCAACGCCGCGUGAGUGAUGAAGGUCUUCGGAUCGUAAAACUCUGUCAUUAGGGAAGAACAUAUGUGUAAGUAACUGUGCACAUCUUGACGGUACCUAAUCAGAAGCCACGGCUAACUACGUG